GAAUUUCUCUUCUUCCAGUAGACUGUCAUAGGACUAGCCUGAGUGAGCCUCAGAAAAGAACAAGGUUAUACACAGAGGAGCUUCUUAAUUAUUUUUAUUGAAUUCAUUGAGUAUUUUCAAAGUUUCUACUUGUGAAGGAAAAAGAUAUAAGAGAAGAUGCAGAAAAACAAGGAGGAGACAAUGUCAGUGCAGAUUUUUAUUUUUGAAGCAAUGGGAAUUCUCCUCUCAUAUGGAUUUCAUGGGAAAUAGAGGACAAGUCAAGUUUCUGUCUUCACUAUAGUAUUGAAAUACUUCUUCAAUAACUUUGGAAAAGAGAAUGAUACUGAUGACUGCCUACUCUGCCUCACCUAAAUCUGCACAUGCAAGUCAAGAGGUCUUUUGAGACUUUUAACACUCCUCAAGUUAUUAUGGAUCUGAACUGGAAGGGAUUUAAGAAUCAUAAUUUUAUUUUACCAUAACAUUCAUAUACCACUAUUUACAUUAACACUCCCCUACUGUUGGACAUUUAGGAUCCUUCCAAGUCUUUUUCAAUUGCCUCUAAUGAUUCUUUUAAUACAUAUGAAGAGAUAACUCUUGUGUUUUGUUUAGUCUUUAUCAUGUUUUCAUUGGAUAUAUCCAUGAAUGGAACUAUUGGAUGAAAUAUUGGAUUACUUUUGUAUCUGUUCCUAAGGACUGGUGAUUGCUUUCCAAAAAGA
This 695-nucleotide long non-coding RNA is filed under the name Monodelphis domestica (gray short-tailed opossum). Its description in RNAcentral is "lncRNA (ENSMODG00000045212.1)". The record is from RNAcentral. Lineage: Eukaryota; Metazoa; Chordata; Mammalia; Didelphimorphia; Didelphidae.